AAAUAUAAAGUGGUAUGAGUAAAUAAAUAAAAGGUAAGACGUUUUAAAAUUAUCAGACAUAUUAUUUUAAUUAUAUCAUCAAUCUUCUUGUAUGAAUAUGUGAAUCAGUUUCUAUGCAUGUCACUAUGAUAGUAAACAUUUUUCAUAUCAACGUGUUGGUGUAUCUGAAGCCUUGGCAAGCCUAAGACCCAGGUUUUGAGUUUAUUCUUAAAUGAAUUAUCACUCCUGAUAUUUUUUAUAUGAUGUGGGACGAGAUUAUAUAACCGAGGAGCUAGGUAUGAGUAAGACCUUUGAAGGAUGUUUUUCCUUGAAUUCGGGACAUAUGCAUUAUUUUUUUGUCGAGUUUCAUAUUGGUGUUCUAUUAUCCUUAAUUCAUGUCUAUUAUUAUGUUGUCUUAUUAUAGUUUAGAGAAAGUAGAGUUGUCUUAUGUCUAGAAUUGAUGUUUCUUUAUAUAAUGAGUCGGUCGGGUGUUUCAGAAAAGUUGUGUUUGCUGCUCCCCAAGCAAUUAUUCCGUAUGUAAGGUGGGUUUCGAACAAUGCAUAGUAUAGCAUUCGCAUCUGGGCUGUUUGUAGGUAUGGUCUCACGUAUUUUAAUCUAUAUGC
Long non-coding RNA from Leptinotarsa decemlineata (Colorado potato beetle), 602 nucleotides. NCBI's taxonomy places the organism in Eukaryota, Metazoa, Arthropoda, Insecta, Coleoptera, Chrysomelidae. The record is from RefSeq and is a predicted model, not a curated record.